UACAGAGGUCUCGAGCGUUAGGCGGAAUCACUGGGCUUAAAGCGUGUGUAGGCGGAUCGGUAAGUACCUUGUGAAAUCCCACAGCUUAACUGUGGAACUGCUUGGUAUACUGCCAGUCUUGAGCCAGCUAGGGGCUACCGGAACAAAUGGUGGAGCGGUGAAAUGCGUAGAUAUCGUAAGGAAGACCAGUGGCGAAGGCGGGUCUCUGGACAGUUCCUGACGCUGAGGCACGAAGGCCAGGGGAGCAAACGGG
This 253-nucleotide ribosomal RNA is filed under the name uncultured bacterium. Its description in RNAcentral is "partial 16S ribosomal RNA". It matches the Rfam family "Bacterial small subunit ribosomal RNA", at positions 524 to 776 of the family's 1533-position model. The record is from RNAcentral.